RNAcentral lists this ribosomal RNA (1564 nucleotides) under Caenopedina pulchella. RNAcentral's name for it is "16S ribosomal RNA". It matches the Rfam family "Bacterial large subunit ribosomal RNA". Lineage: Eukaryota; Metazoa; Echinodermata; Echinoidea; Pedinoida; Pedinidae. The record is from RNAcentral.
AAGUUUUUAAUCAAGGCUUAACUUUACAAAUUUAAUUAAUAAAUAUUAUUUACAAGAAAAACCACUUAUAAAACCUAGUAGAAUUAUCCGAAUAUAAAAAAGACCUAAAGAACAGUACCGAAAGGGAACAAUGAAAUAAUAUGAAAUAAUAAACCAAAAAUAGGAAAGAUAAAGCCUUUUACCUUGUGUAUAAUGGAUUUACAAGAAAAAAGAUAUAAAAAUCUAAGCCCGAAACCAAACGAGCUAACCUUUUCUUCUCUUUUAGGAAAAAACAACUACUGUUACAAUAGUAGUAAUAAAGAAAAGGUUAGAUGUUAUAUGCUAAUCGCGUCUGGAAAUAGCUGGUUACCUAAGAAAUUAGUGUUAGCUAAGCCUUCUCUAUAAAAUCUAAACAAUAGUUAAAUAAUUAAUAAUAACUAAUUAGAACUUUAAUAAGAAGAAAGGUUAGGGGGGGAAGGAUAAGCUUUUCCCCCAAAAUGGAAAACCCCAAAUAUAUUAGUUAAAGUCAAUAAUAAAUAAAAAUAGUAUUUUAAAUAUAAGUAGGCCUAGAAGCAGCCAACCAAAAAGAAAGCGUUAAAGCUCAAUAUAAUAAUAACACUAUAAAAUUCAUGAGUCUUAACUACUAAAACUAUAUAACUACCUAUUAGGUUACUCCCAUCUGGGAAAAAUUUAUGUUAAUAUGAGUAAAGAACAUCUCACUCGAGUUAUAAACAAACUUAACUAUGGAAGAAAAAUAAUAAAUCUAAAAAUAACAUUUUUAAACUUGUCUUCCAACUCAGGAGAGUAUAUAUUAAACAAUAAAAAGGUAAGAAGGAACUCGGCAAAAACAAGUUUCGCCUGUUUACCAAAAACAUCGCUCUCUGAUAAAAUAUAUAUAGAGAGUCCUGCCUGCCCAGUGAUUUUUAAAAAUUAAACGGCCGCGGUAUCUUGACCGUGCGAAGGUAGCAUAAUCAUUUGUCUCCUAAAUAGAGACUAGCAUGAAUGGCAAGACGGAACUUUACUGUCUCCUUACCCCAUCUUGAAUUUCACUUCCCCGUGAAGAGGCGGGGAUUAUUUCGUUAGACGAGAAGACCCUGUCGAGCUUACAGUAAAGUAUAGAUUUUUAACUUUUAAAUUAAACUUUUCUAAUUAGUAAAUUUAAAAUUAAUUUAACUAGAAAAAUCUAUACUAGCUUAAGUUGGGGCAACUGAGGAGUAAACCAAACCUCCACUACUAUAAAUUUGAAUAAAGAGAUAUAUCUCUAAUACUAAUCGCAAGAGACGAAAGAGUGAUCCACCCAGGUGAUCAAAAGAAAAAGUUACCGCAGGGAUAACAGCGUUAUCUUCUUUAAGAGUCCAUAUUGACAAGAAGGUUUGCGACCUCGAUGUUGGAUCGGGACAUCCUAGAGGUGCAGAAGCUUCUAAGGGUUGGUCUGUUCGACCAUUAAAGUCCUACGUGAUCUGAGUUCAGACCGGCGAGAGCCAGGUCAGUUUCUAUCUACGAAAUAACUUCUUUUUUAGUACGAAAGGACCAAAAAGAAGGUGUAAAUAUUAUACUAUAAACACCAAAAAUACAAAUUAAAAAC